AUAGGCUUUUAGUACAUUUCCGUGCAACAAUGCACCAUUAGACAAGAACAUGCACAAGCUCACCGCUCACCACUCACACCUCAAAAAGAAGCAGCCAAAACCCCCACAAUAAAACCCUAAACCGUCUUUUGGCCUUCUCUCUUCCUCUGAACAUAUUGAUCACAUGAUGGAACAUCCAUUAACAUUUUCAUCACUGAAAUAGUAGAAA
This 208-nucleotide unclassified non-coding RNA is filed under the name Hevea brasiliensis (rubber tree). The record is from RNAcentral. Lineage: Eukaryota; Viridiplantae; Streptophyta; Magnoliopsida; Malpighiales; Euphorbiaceae.